Molecule: small nuclear RNA, 143 nt
Filed under: Aotus nancymaae (Ma's night monkey)
Lineage: Eukaryota; Metazoa; Chordata; Mammalia; Primates; Aotidae
Description: U1 spliceosomal RNA (ENSANAG00000019892.1)
Rfam family: U1 spliceosomal RNA
About the family: U1 is a small nuclear RNA (snRNA) component of the spliceosome (involved in pre-mRNA splicing).
Source: Rfam by way of RNAcentral
UCUGUUACCUGGCAGGGGAGAUACCAUGAUCACGAAGGUGGUUUUCUCAGGGCGAGGCUUAUCCAUUGUACUCCGGAUGUGCUGACCCCUGCGAUUUCCCCAAAUGUUUGUGGUGUGGGGGACUGCAUUCAUGCUUUCUCCUG